RNAcentral lists this unclassified non-coding RNA (217 nucleotides) under uncultured fungus. Its description in RNAcentral is "partial contains 5.8S ribosomal RNA, internal transcribed spacer 2, and large subunit ribosomal RNA". Lineage: Eukaryota; Fungi. The record is from RNAcentral.
AACGCACAUUGCGCCUCCCGUUACUGGGAGGCAUGCCUGUCUGAGCGUCAUUUAAAACAUAGUACCCUGCCAGGGGGUCUGUCUUGGGCCUCGCCUGUGGGCGUAGCCUAAAAGCUAUCGGUCUAAAGAGCGGACGAGAUCCAUUGGGACUGACCGUUCUGUGACCUUAAACCUCUGACUUGACCUCAGAUCAGGUAGGGCUACCGCCUGAACUUAA